RNAcentral lists this long non-coding RNA (3611 nucleotides) under Canis lupus familiaris (dog). Its description in RNAcentral is "lncRNA (ENSCAFG00000059103.1)". The record is from RNAcentral. Lineage: Eukaryota; Metazoa; Chordata; Mammalia; Carnivora; Canidae.
UUUUCCUUUCAUCAUAUUUAUCUGAGAAAACAGAACCUACAGUGGUAAUCACUGCAUAAUACCUGUGUAUCAGACAAUCAUGCUAUGUGCCUAGACUUCUAGAGUAAUGUAUAUCAAUUAUUUCUCAAUAAAACUGGGAUUUUUAAAAAGUAUCUACUUUGUGGUUAGGAGGUAUGUUUACAUUACACAGAUUUUACAAAUACAUACACACACAAGACUGGAUAAAAAUGAAAGAGAAGCCCAUAGAAGUAAAAUCAGGUCAAAAAUAUUUUGAUAUGUCAGCUGCUAAGCAUGUAUGCUUAUUUUGUGAAUUCUCCCAUAAUUCCAUGCAGAAGACUAAUUUCAUCUUCUUAAGAAGCUUUUCAAUGCAUGUAUAUUUCCCAGAAGCAUGGAUUCUGCUAUAGAUUAACAUAAUGUCAAAAAUCUAUUUAAUAAGAAAAUGCUUCCUAUGGUAAAAAACUCAAAUACUUACAAUGCUUUUAAAAACGUUCUACAAACAUUUGUGUAAUAAGGAUAAACACAAGACCUUUACCAAACUUUUAUGUUCUAUAUUGAAUAUCUUGUUUGUACACAAAGCUGAAAGAAGUAGCAAAGUUAUCUAACAUUUAUAACGCAUAAAUAUGUAACAUGUAAUAGUCACAGAGAACCAGACUAUGUUCAAAAAGCUACUGACACAUUAAAAAGCACAGUGCUAUAAACCAAUCUAUUAUGUAUGAUAAAAGAUCUUUCUCAUUAAAAUAUAUUUUAUUAAAUAAAUGAUAAACAUAAUAAUUGGCUUUUCCAUAUUCAUACUUCCAUUAUAUUUUUUAAAAAAUUCAACAUUUUGGUUACUGUGUAAUAUAUGUAGUUGAUGACACAAAAGGUGUCAAAACUUCAGAAAUAUCUGUUUAUUAUAAAAAUUUUAGUGAGUUGUUAAUUUCUUUAUUGUAAAUUGUACUUUACCUCAAUUCAAUACUAAUUAUCAGAUGCAAAAUAAAGCAGAAUAAGAUAUAAAUAAGCUUGUAAAAAAUUCAAGAAACUUACAACAUUAAUGUUAUAAUGUUGUUACUUAUGCUUACAGGAAAAAUCAUGAAUAAACGAGUCAUUUCUGUAACAAAUUUAUAACUGAUGACUACCAUACCAGUUCUUAAAAAUUAUGUGUAUUCAAAUGUUACCUAUACUAUGCCAUGUUAAAAAGUCUUAGAUCUGCUAAGCUUUCAUGCUGAUCCAUCAGCUUAGAAAAUGUUUGUAAAAUUUUUUAAAAUGCAGUGUAAACAUUUCAGCCCUGAACCUUCUUUCUAUGCCUUUGAACCUUCUCUUUCAUGUGCAAUACCUGACGGCCCACGGAGAAUAGCUGCUGAAAGCCCCAAAGAUGGGUAAAACAGAAUUUCUGACUCAGGAAAUAAAGAUCAGCUGAACAGGAUUCCCAGAUGGCAAUCCAGAUCAAUGGAAAAGCAAGACCAGAAAUUUACAGUAUCUAUCCUACACAGUAUAGCAUGAAGGUUGUAUUUCAUUGCUAGUAACAAAACUCCCAGGGGCCAAGAAAAAAAGGAGAUACAAAGAUUAUAAAUCCAGUAAUGAGAAACUACACUUUAUUUUGACAUUUUUCUCUAAGUGGAAUUAGAAACUCCACUACCUUUAUUUGGAAUCACUGAUAUGGUCAAUCAUUUCUGCAACUAAACAACUGCAUUCCACUAAAACAAUUAGAGCAAUCAUGAGAGGUGGAUUAAUGUUUAUGGAAAAUUCCUUGCAAAUUUCCAGCACCUAUCAUCAGGUUAGAUGGAAAUGGCUUCUGUGUUUUAUGCCUAGAAAAAUAAUGAUUUAGUUAAAUUUCAAAUUUUGUGAAGAAAAACUCAGAAAAGACCUAUUAAUAACAAAAAUUAAUAUUUUAUAAGCAAAUUUUAAAACUUAAAACAUUUCAUUACAAUGCUGCCAAGUCUGAGGGACUCAGUAAUCCAUGCCAAACAGGAAUUACCUCUACUAAUACCCCCAUUUUUGGUGGCACUCAAGUUGAUAUUUUAGUAUUUCCUAACUCAUAAGGCUACCCUUUUCCAUUUUGGGCAUGUUUUUAUUCUCAGCACGUGUACAUCCAAAUAACUUGUAUCUACGUGGUCUUAUUCUGACUAGUGAGGCUAUAUAAAAUAAAUUCCCAUUCUACACAACUAUUCUUUAAAACACUGUGCACUAUUCAAUCCUUCCUAUCUCUUGAAUUCUGCACUAAACAACCCAGCAGUUCCUUGUCCUAAUUCUCUUAUGUCAUCGUUCCCCAAUCCUUUGAAACCAUGGUUAUCUCCAGAUAAACUUUAGUUUCAGUUAAAUGUGACACUGUAAACUGAAUAUGGUACUACAGAUAUGAGUUAUCCAUUUCACAGCACCCUCCACAUGCUAAUCUAGACACCAUGGGUUUUUUAGUUUGCAUUGGAUUUUUAUAGUCAAGAUCCAUAUAUUCACUGCCUAUUAGAUGCCUUCACUUGGAUUUCCUACAAACUCCUCAAAGUCAAAAUGUCCAAAAUUAAAUUGAUCCUCUUUCUCCUUCACUUCUCUACUUCAUCACACUCCAAAUAUGCUUCCCCUCCUAAUUUCCUGUAUCAGUGCCUAUACUAAAAAUAGCCACAAACCUGCCAGCAUCCUAUAUUCCUCCUUCAUACUCAUGUCUGUCAUCCAAGUGACCAUCACACCCCAUCACACUGACCAUGCAAUUUAACAAUCGGGCUCUAUGCCAAACUGCUAAAGUCUAAAUUCUUGCUCUCCCCUAACAAGCUGUGUGGCCUUGGACAAGUAACCUAGCCUUUCCAUUACUUAGUUUCCUCAUCUGUAAAAUGAAAAUGAAAUGAAAAUAAUACAGACAUACCUCAGAGCUACUGCAGGUUUGGUUCCAGACCACUUCAAUAAAGUGAAUUAUCACAAUAAAUAAGUUAAAUAGUUUUCACAGUGCAUAAAAGUGUUAUAUUUAUAGUAUAUUGUAGUGUACUAAGUGUUAUAUUUAUAGUAUUAAAGUGUUAUAUUUAUAGUAUUUUGUAGUGUACUAAGUGUGCAAUAAUAGCUUUAGAACCAAAAAAAGAAAAACCCAAUGUACAUAACUUAACUUAAAAAUGCUUUAUUGUUAAAAAAUGCUAACCAUCAUCUGAGCUUUCAGGUCAUCAUCAUCUUUUUGCUGGUAGAGGGUCUUGACUGGAUGUUGAUGGUUGUUUGACUGCUUGACUGAUCAGGGUGGUGUUACUAAAGGUUGGGGUGGCUGUGGCAAUUUUUUUUUUUAAGAGCAAGAGAGAGAGAGAGUGGGGAAGGGCCAAGGAAGAAGGGGAAAGAGAAUCCUAUUGCAGCUCUAGGAGCAGCACAGAGUACAAUGCAGGGCUCGAUCUCACCACUCUGAGAUCAUGACCUGAGCCCAAAUCAAGAGUCGGAUGUUAAACCUCCUGAACACCCAGGUGUGUCAAUUUUUAAAAAUAAGACAACAGUGAACUUUGCAACAUAGACUCCUUUAUGAACAGUUUCUCUGUAGGAUGUGAUGCUGUUUGAUAGCCUUUUACCUACAGAGCUUCUUUCAAAAUUGGGGUCAAUCCUCUCAAAUCCUACCACUACUUUAUCAACUAAGUUUGUGUGAUAUUCUAAAUCCCUUGUUACUUCAACAGUCU